This 77-nucleotide transfer RNA is filed under the name Rhodocyclaceae bacterium. Its description in RNAcentral is "tRNA-Ala". It matches the Rfam family "tRNA". Rfam says of the family: Transfer RNA (tRNA) molecules are approximately 80 nucleotides in length. Their secondary structure includes four short double-helical elements and three loops (D, anti-codon, and T loops). The record is from RNAcentral. Lineage: Bacteria; Pseudomonadati; Pseudomonadota; Betaproteobacteria; Rhodocyclales; Rhodocyclaceae.
GGGGGUAUAGCUCAGCUGGGAGAGCGCUUGCAUGGCAUGCAAGAGGUCAGCGGUUCCGAUCCCGCUUACCUCCACCA